GUGAUUUGCCAGGAGGAACAUUUCCAUAGAGAGACACUUUGCAUUGGCAUCACAUGCUUCAGUGCUCUGGGAGUGUUUAUAGCCCUGUGAGUUGAACACUUCAUGACUGAGAGCUGUAUUUCCUUUGAACAGAAACCACGGCAACCAUGACUUUCAUCACCAUCUUCAUCUGGACUCUGGUCUGUUACGCACAAGGGUCUUGGGGCCAGUAUGUAUUGACUCAGUCUGCAGCUCAAUCAGUCCAGCCUGGUCAAACUGUCUCUAUUGACUGUAGCGCCAGUAGUAAAGUUUCUCAGUACUCUGGCUCACAGUAUUACCUGGCCUGGUACCAUCAGACGUCUGGAGAAGCUUCUAAACUCAUGAUAAAAUAUAUUAUGUUAUGACUGACUAAGCUGUUACAAAUGUUUGCUUGAAUCAUUGACAACAGUUCUGAAGAAUGCACACGAGAGCGAAUUCAGUCAGUUUAUUAGAAAUGAAUGGUGGCAAAGAUGCAAAUAGUUAAUGAGCCAAAAACAUCAGUAUUGAUUCUCAAUAGUGGAAAAGUGAAAUAGUCCAUUCCAUUGAAAACAUUAUUUCUCUAUAAUAAUGAGAUUGAUUACCUGUAGUGAAUUUGAUCACUGAUUUAGACGGAUGCAGUACCAUCUAACUCACUGCUAAACCACUGUUACAGAGACCUUCAGUGGUAAGAUCUUUAGAGAGUGGAAUUCACAGUAAUUACCAAUAAAUGGAGAGACUCUCUCUGUGAAAUGUUGUGUGAA
Long non-coding RNA from Salvelinus sp. IW2-2015, 758 nucleotides. RefSeq lists it as uncharacterized. Lineage: Eukaryota; Metazoa; Chordata; Actinopteri; Salmoniformes; Salmonidae. The record is from RefSeq and is a predicted model, not a curated record.